GGUGGCUCAGUAGUAGAGUGUUUGCCUUACAUGUAUGAGGCCCUGAGUUCGAUUCCUCAGCACCA
This 65-nucleotide transfer RNA is filed under the name Dipodomys ordii (Ord's kangaroo rat). It matches the Rfam family "tRNA". Rfam says of the family: Transfer RNA (tRNA) molecules are approximately 80 nucleotides in length. The record is from Rfam by way of RNAcentral. Lineage: Eukaryota; Metazoa; Chordata; Mammalia; Rodentia; Heteromyidae.